Molecule: non-coding RNA, 226 nt
Filed under: Rummeliibacillus stabekisii
Lineage: Bacteria; Bacillati; Bacillota; Bacilli; Caryophanales; Caryophanaceae
Description: T-box sequence
Rfam family: T-box leader
About the family: Uncharged tRNA acts as the effector for transcription antitermination of genes in the T-box leader family. T-boxes are found upstream of many aminoacyl-tRNA synthetase genes and some amino acid biosynthetic genes usually in Gram-positive bacteria. The anticodon of a specific tRNA base pairs to a specifier sequence within the T-box motif, and the NCCA acceptor tail of the tRNA base pairs to a conserved bulge in the T-box antiterminator hairpin.
Source: RNAcentral
AUAAAAGCGAUGAAGAGGAGAAGUACGCAAUUCAUGCUCUAAAAGAGAGGACCAUCACCGGCUGAAAAUGGUCUGAGCCAAUGAAUUACAGAAAUGCACCUCUGAGCGUUAAGUUGAAAUAGUCACUAGAGUAGACUUAGCCGGUAAUCUCCGUUAAAAGAUGUUCAAGCGGGAAGCAAGUAUGCUUCCAAUCAGAGUGGAACCGCGCAUAGUAGGCGUCUCUGUC